UAAACAUACAUCCGGUAAUUAUCAAUCAAGCACCCCCCACUCCCUUAACAGUAACAGCUGCGAGCACCAGAGCAGCGAGGACAGCAGAAUCGGAGAGGCCCGGCAACGUCAUCAAUCAUCGUCCUGAAUGCUGCUAUCCAGGAACUGUUUGUGUGUUCGCUGCGGCUGCUUAUCUCCACUCCUUCGUCUCCCACACCCCCCAUCGAUGGCGAGCUCCGGGGGAAGAUUUAGGCCAAGCCGGCUUGAUGAAAUAGAAGAGUCUUAAGCGCGUGGCGGAAGGUGCGCAGAUCCGGGAUCCUCCGUAUCUCCAGGGGGAGCUCGUUCCAGAUGGGCCAUCUUUGGAAUCACACCAGGCAGUGUGAGAAAGGGGAAGGAGGUACAGCUGGCCAUCCAGAGCCAUAGCUCCAGUGGGGAAUCUGAACUUUACAUAAAUAUUUUAUUCCAUUA
Pantherophis guttatus is the source of this 447-nucleotide long non-coding RNA. RefSeq lists it as uncharacterized. The record is from RefSeq and is a predicted model, not a curated record. NCBI's taxonomy places the organism in Eukaryota, Metazoa, Chordata, Lepidosauria, Squamata, Colubridae.